RNAcentral lists this ribosomal RNA (651 nucleotides) under Triticum aestivum (bread wheat). RNAcentral describes it as "partial small subunit ribosomal RNA". The record is from RNAcentral. Lineage: Eukaryota; Viridiplantae; Streptophyta; Magnoliopsida; Poales; Poaceae.
AUGUUGCCCGAUAGGAAGGAAUGGAAUGAGCCUCUCAUACGACAACUCUUCUAUCCCUUUGACGCUGAUGAGAUUUGCAAGCUCAAUAUCCCGUCGUCGGAGGUGAGCGAUUGUAUUGCUUGGCAUUAUGAGAAGAAUGGCUCUUUCUCUGUCAGGAGUGCGUAUAGACUUGCGGCUUCAAUCCGGGAGCAAGUGCAGCAUACCCCGUCGAGCUCCACAAGAGACCCAAAUGAUCGUAGUAUCUGGGACUUCAUUUGGAAAACUAGUGUCCCCGGGAAGGUCCGUAUCUUUGCUUGGAGAGUGGCAACUAAUACCCUGGCCACAAAGGAGAACAAAUGGAAGAGAUCGCUAGAAGUGGAUGCCACGUGUAGCCUAUGUGGUAAUGUCGUAGAGGAUGAAUAUCACGCAGUGAUUGCAUGUACUAAAAGCAGGGCCCUGAGAACUGCUAUGAGAGAUGUAUGGAGGAUACCGGCUGAACACAGGCUGAGAUACACCGGUGUUGAUUGGCUACAGGUUGCCCUAGGCACGGAAAAUGAAGAGACGCGCGCCAAACUGCUGCUACUCCUGUGGCGAUGCUGGCAUCUCAGAGAAGACAGCAUGCAGAAUAACGGGAGAGAAUCGAUCGGGGCCUCAGUACAGUUCUUAAAAUAG